GUUAACUGCAACUGAGCUGCACACAGAGGCUUUGUGCUGGGGAUCUCUCUGAGAGUGCUGAAGACAAUGGGGCUAUUCUUGAUUUAUCAUGAGGCACCACCAUAACAAUUAACCACCAUAAUGACAACAGUAUGGACAACCUGCUCCCACCUGCACUUUGAUGUGAAGAUUUCUAAAGCACCAGAUCACUCCUGGCAAUCCCUCUAUAACAUGAAACACCACCCUCCUCCAACAUCAAAAGUUAGAACAUCUUUGUCUGAAAAAAUUCAUUUGCACGAUAGCAUCUGCACACUGUGUUCCGCUCAGAGGGAGAAACAUGUUUAUGAAUGCCAGUGAGGAGCGCACUCACAGAUGUGAAUAUGAAUAUGAAUAGGCUGUGACAUGCAGGGCGAGCAACCUCUUCAAUUCUGGAUGCAAUCCCAUUUGCUAAGGUACACAACCAGAAGGGACAGGCUUACAUCCUUAGCCUGUCCAAAAGGUCUUUACACGAGCUGCAGUCUGCUCCAGGAAUUCUGGUUCUCCUUUGUCUCAAAACUUCCAAGAUGAAGUGGAAGGUCAAAGGAGCUCACUGCCCCUUGGCUGGUGCACACAUCCCAAAGCUACAUUACAGAAGAGUCACAAAUGAGGACAAAAGGAUGCAGAAGAGCAACAGAAAGGAGCUGAACUCGCAAACAGGGCAGAGCUGCUCUCUGUGGGGAUGUCAGAAAGGCCUUUUAAUUCUAAACCAGCCUGUGGUGCUUGCGCUGGCUUAGCUGCACGGGGGAUUUCCAUCCAUCCCCAGCUUGCCCCAGCAAAGCCGAGCUCCGACCUCCCUGGGGAACAGCAGCAGGGGCGGCCACAGCCCGGGGAGCCCCAGGCCACUGCUGCCAUCCAGCCGCCCCCUCCUCCCCGCUGACCCACAGCGGGGCACUUCUCCGGGCUAACGCUGGUUGCAUAAUGCUACCUCAUUAAAAAUGAACAGGAUAACAGAAAAGGGAGGGCUAAAAACACAGGCCCAAUGAACCUGCUGAAAAGGUAGCUUCUUUGUCAGGUCUUAAACCCCUGCUCACCUCACAGUGUUUAUAUCUGCGAGGGCGUGCACACCACUGUUUUACACAGGUCUAAUAUAUGCAUGGCAGCGUGCCCUUGGCUUUUUCUUUUUAUUUAAUCUUUGACUUGACAGUGUUGUAACUUGCUUCCCUGUGAAACCGGAGAAGAAGGGAUUGUUGUGUGCAUCAGGUUUUGCUUUUGUUUCUAUCCCUUUUAUUGAGUUACAUAAAGAAACUCUUAAGCUGCUUCUGGCUGCUCAUAAGCACUCAGGUGUCUGAUUCUGUCUUCUGGGACAUUAAGGACCUCAGUUGCACCUCAGUGCAACAGCCACCAUACUGGCCACCACUGGAAUGGUGGUUCAGGAUGCUGCCGAGGGCAACUGGUCCAGCAGGGAGCCCUAUUCUUUACAUCAGCUGAGAGACCUGCCCUUCACACUUGCUGGUUUGCAUCUGUAAUUCCUUUAAAGGGGAGUCCCUGUGGUGUCUUUGGGAUUUUCUUCUGGACAAUUUCAGGAUGGACAUCUUCUCUAAAUCCCUUCUCCCAUCAGACAACAGUCUUUCAAACCAGAUAGUGGCCUGGUCACAAAACACCCACUAGAGAAUUAACAAUCAGCUUUGUGAUUUUCUGCGUCGAUAACAGACAUCGUAGAAAAUGGAGCUAGAAGAAACUGUUAAAGGUCAUCUUGCCCUUCCACCAGCCUCCAGAUAUGAUCAGCUGUGCUGAAGACGCUGGAUUUGAGACAGUUAUCUGCUGCUAAAGCUACUUAGCUGCUGCUAAAGCCUUCCCACAACGGCACUUUCACACAGCAAACCAUCCCAAUGGUGCACAAGUCCACAACUGGAGAAUGCCUCUUAAUAUCUCACCUGAAUUCCCUUUAUUGCACUUUAAGCCCGUUAGUUCCUUUCCUGUCCCCAGCAGACAUGAAGAACAGCUUAUCCUUCCUUCUUGCAGUAGUCUUUCACAUACUUGAAGGGUAUUAUCACAUGUACCCAUCUUCAGUUCCCUACUCUAAACAAACCCAACUCUUUCACUCUUUCCUCAUAGCUCAUGUUUUCUAGCCCUCUGAUCACUCUUAUUCCUGCCUGCUGGACUCUCUCCAGUUGGUCAACGUCCUUCUUGAAGCCUGAUGCUCACAAGUGGAUGCAGAUUGAUUCAACAGGCUACUCCAAGCCAAAGGACAGAGGGGAGUAGUUUCACAGUUGGGAGAUCCUCAGCACGAAUGACCCAGUCACUCUAGCUGUGGCACCUCUGUAAAAUUUGGCCCUGGGUUAGGCUGGCAAUAUCCCGGAGAAGCAGCAGUUUUAUAGAUGAAUAACAGCACCUCAGAUUCAUCCUGGAAUGUAAUAGGCAGCUGUAGCCAAAAAAAAAAAACCCAACCCAACAAAAACCACCAAUAAACACCACUAGGACUGGUAUAGUGAACUCCCUGCUAGCAAGGUAUUCAGGGACAAGUGGCAUUUUCCUGUUGUCUCAAAAAAGGAACUUCUUCCCUUUUACAUCUCAAGGCUUAUUCUUUGGGAGAGGGAAUAUGCUAGUACGUCUAUACUGCAUUUGCAAUAAGCCCAGAGCAACCCCCAGACUAGUCUGUACAUUCAGCACAGUACAAUGCCUGAAGGGAGCUGAGCUCCCUUUUGAGAUCAUGGCAUAUUGCCCUCUGAGCGGGGAAGACAGGCUUGGUCACUGGACCACAAUGACACAGCUCUUCUGCUCCUGGUCCUCCCACUAGCUCUGUGGCCAGCACUGGGAUCUUUGCAAUGUGCUUCAUCGCAUGGUGCAGAUGUGCCCCAAGGAGCUCGCUGGGUUUGUGGGAAAGGUUCUAACUCCUAGAGCAAUUUUUCAAGGCAGCAGGGUUUCUGUCUGGUUUCAUUGUCCUGUUGCAAACUUUUUUCCUUGGAAAUUGCUCUUUCCAAACUCUAACCUUAACAUCCCUCAAGAGCUUGCCCUUCAUAAGCCAAAAUCGUUAGCUUCCGUCAAGUGAAGACAAUGGAAGGACGUGUUAAAACAGCCACACUGCUACACCUCAGGCAAGGCUCAGCUCACUCUCUUCUGGGGAACUGCUCAAAUAUUUAUUGGUUAGGAUCUGCGCCAAGAUUUUUCAGUUAAUAUUUGCAAAAUUUAAUCACAACAGCCCAGAUUCGGCAUUGCCUUAAUCCCAUUGAAUUGUUCCUUAGUCUGCAGCAAGCGCCUCCGGUUUCAAUUAGACCAUUCAUGGUUAUGGGCAUUUUUGAAUAAGAAGGGAUCAAAACCUGAUUCUGGAAAUCUGGUUGCAGAAUGCAUUCAUCCAAACCAAGGCUGCAUUUCAGCUGCCCAGUCCACAGCAUAUUAUAAAAAGGGAAGAUUUAAAUACACACUGUACUGGACCAUUGUAGCAAGACUGCUUUGCAAAAGCUUCUCCCUGAAAACCUCCCUCUUUAAAUGAGAGAGAGAUCAAACCACGAAAACAAGCGGUACCAACCCCAGGAGGCAGGCUUGCCUCCUGAGUGCCAGAUAAUAAUAAAUGAUGUGUUUGUAAUCCACA
Long non-coding RNA from Falco peregrinus (peregrine falcon), 3547 nucleotides. RefSeq lists it as uncharacterized. The transcript is spliced from 4 exons. NCBI's taxonomy places the organism in Eukaryota, Metazoa, Chordata, Aves, Falconiformes, Falconidae. The record is from RefSeq and is a predicted model, not a curated record.